This 498-nucleotide ribosomal RNA is filed under the name uncultured Glomeromycotina. Its description in RNAcentral is "partial small subunit ribosomal RNA". It matches the Rfam family "Eukaryotic small subunit ribosomal RNA", at positions 591 to 1092 of the family's 1831-position model. The record is from RNAcentral. Lineage: Eukaryota; Fungi; Glomeromycota.
CCAAUAGCGUAUAUUAAAGUUGUUGCAGUUAAAAAGCUCGUAGUUGAAUUUUAGGCCUGGCCGGACGGUCCGUCUCUGGCGAGUACUGUUCUGUCGUCGGGUCUAUCCUUCUGGUGAGCCGGUAUGUUCUUAAUUGAGCGUGCCGGGGAGCCAGGACCAUUACCUUGAAAAAAUUAGAGUGUUUAAAGCAGGCUUUUGCUUGAAUAGAUUAGCAUGGAAUAAUAGAAUAGGACGUUGUGGUUCUAUUUUGUUGGUUCAAGGACCACCGUAAGGAUUAAUAGGGAUAGUUGGGGGCAUUAGUAUUCAAUUGUCAGAGGGGAAAUUCUUGGAUUUAUUGAAGACUAACUACUGCGAAAGCAUUUGCCAAGGAUGUUUUCAUUAAUCAAGAACGAAAGUUAGGGGAUCGAAGACGAUCAGAUACCGUCGUAGUCUUAACCAUAAACUAUGCCGACUAGGAAUCGGGCGACGUUAUUUUUACGACUCGCUCGGCGCCUUAUG